Molecule: ribosomal RNA, 28 nt
Filed under: Aspergillus sp.
Lineage: Eukaryota; Fungi; Ascomycota; Eurotiomycetes; Eurotiales; Aspergillaceae
Description: partial 28S ribosomal RNA
Source: RNAcentral
UGACCUCGGAUCAGGUAGCAUCCCGACU